CCUACGGGUGGCAGCAGUGGGGAAUAUUGCACAAUGGGCGAAACCCUGAUGCAGCGACGCCGCGUGAGUGAAGAAGUCCUUCGUUGUGUAAAGCUCUAUCAGCAGGGAAGUAAAUGACGGUACCUGAGUAAGAAGCUACGGCUAACUACGUGACAGCAGCCGCGGUAAGACGGAGGCGGCAAGCGUUAUCCGGAUUUACUGGGUGUAAUGGGAGCGUAGACGGCUGUGCAAGUCAGGAGUGAAAGGCUGGGGCUCAACCCCCAGACUGCAGUGGAAACUGUACGGCUGGAGUGCAGGAGAGGUGAGUGGAAUUCGUGGUGUAGCGGUGAAAUGCGUAGAUAUUAGGAGGAACACCAGUGGCGAAGGCGGCUUACUGGACUGUAACUGACGUUGAGGCUCGAAAGCGUGGGGAGCAAACAGGAUUAGAUACCCUUGUAGUC
RNAcentral lists this ribosomal RNA (440 nucleotides) under uncultured bacterium. RNAcentral's name for it is "partial 16S ribosomal RNA". It matches the Rfam family "Bacterial small subunit ribosomal RNA", at positions 338 to 795 of the family's 1533-position model. The record is from RNAcentral.